Molecule: ribosomal RNA, 450 nt
Filed under: uncultured bacterium
Lineage: Bacteria
Description: partial 16S ribosomal RNA
Rfam family: Bacterial small subunit ribosomal RNA
Source: RNAcentral
GUGGGGAAUCUUCCGCAAUGGACGAAAGUCUGACGGAGCAACGCCGCGUGAGUGAUGAAGGUCUUCGGAUUGUAAAACUCUGUUGUCAGGGACGAAUGUGCGAACGUUGAAUAAGCGUUUGUAUUGACGGUACCUGACGAGGAAGCCACGGCUAACUACGUGCCAGCAGCCGCGGUAAUACGUAGGUGGCAAGCGUUGUCCGGAAUUAUUGGGCGUAAAGAGCAUGUAGGCGGGCUUUUAAGUCCGACGUGAAAAUGCGGGGCUUAACCCCGUAUGGCGUUGGAUACUGGAAGUCUUGAGUGCAGGAGAGGAAAGGGGAAUUCCCAGUGUAGCGGUGAAAUGCGUAGAUAUUGGGAGGAACACCAGUGGCGAAGGCGCCUUUCUGGACUGUGUCUGACGCUGAGAUGCGAAAGCCAGGGUAGCAAACGGGAUUAGAAACCCGGGUAGUCC